UAGCUAUCUCUUUACCCCCCAUUUUUGGGGAGGGUAAAUUUCUCCUAAGGCUAAAUAUUGGCGAGAGACCGAUAGCGAACAAGUACCGUGAGGGAAAGAUGAAAAGCACUUUGAAAAGAGAGUUAAAUAGCACGUGAAAUUGUUGAAAGGGAAACGAUUGAAGCCAGUCGUACCUACGGGUAAUCAACCUUUCGGGAGCGAUUCUGUGGGCUUUGAGGAGCUUAACGGCCCUCGGGUUUUCAUAUUCGUACCCUUGGGGUGUAUUUUCCCGGUGGUAGUUAACAUCAAUUUCGGUUGUCAUAAAAUGAUGGGAGGAAUGAGCUUUCUAUAAUA
This 333-nucleotide ribosomal RNA is filed under the name uncultured Glomeromycotina. RNAcentral's name for it is "partial large subunit ribosomal RNA". It matches the Rfam family "Eukaryotic large subunit ribosomal RNA", at positions 271 to 550 of the family's 3401-position model. Lineage: Eukaryota; Fungi; Glomeromycota. The record is from RNAcentral.